CUUCAGCGAUCCCAACCACAACGGCUGCUCCGCGGGGCGGCCCUGACCGUAGGUCGCCAGCAACGCCUGCGCCUC
This 75-nucleotide antisense RNA is filed under the name Micromonospora halophytica. RNAcentral's name for it is "ASpks TB sRNA". It matches the Rfam family "ASpks TB sRNA". Lineage: Bacteria; Bacillati; Actinomycetota; Actinomycetes; Micromonosporales; Micromonosporaceae. The record is from Rfam by way of RNAcentral.